UGGAAUUCGACUAAGCCAAAUUCCGAAACUGAAUAUCAAAGUUUCCUAUACAUUAAUAACAUAUAAACUAAAACUGCAAUUUCAAUUGGUAGGUUCGAAACUUCGAAUACAAGAUCACAAUAUUACAACAUUGGUUUUAAAGAAUCCAAAUUACAAACCUAGCACAAAAUCAUAAGUAUGUUAUGAUAUAUAAAAAAUGAGUACCAAAGCAUCAACAAGCAUGAAGAACCCUAGAAGCCAAACUGCUGCUCCAUGCAUCUCUAAAAACAAGUGGUGGGGUAAUCUUUUCCCCAUAAUGCACACUGAAACCUAUCAAGAAAUGAAGAUGUUUCAGCAUGAAUGCCUCGCAAGAAAUAGAAGAAGAAAAUGCUCACAGUUUAACCUGCACUUGUCUCCUGUAAAGAGGAGGCAACAACUGAUUGGCAGCUUGCAUGGAUAUUGAUAGCUGUAGGGACAAGAUUGAUGUUGAACUCUUGACAUGACUUUCGCAAGUUGAAGCAUACAUCAUUGAUCAGAUUGAAACCAAUAGCAACCUGCAUAGAUAUAUAAUUCACUCAAACAACUUCAUUCUAGCACUUCCAAAGCAAACAAUCCACUAGAUAUAUUCAAUAAGCCAAGAUUUCCAUUAAACUAAUUAGGCAACACAGGCCCUGUAAUUCCUUGAACACUAAUAGCCUCAAAGCAGGCAGCAUGGAUCACUGAAAGAGUAAUUCGGAUUGGUUCCAUUGAGCCAGGAAGGGAGCUUGCACUGCUUCAAGUUCAUGCUCCAAAG
Molecule: long non-coding RNA, 772 nt
Filed under: Phoenix dactylifera (date palm)
Lineage: Eukaryota; Viridiplantae; Streptophyta; Magnoliopsida; Arecales; Arecaceae
Description: long non-coding RNA (PDAC_LNC005497)
Source: RNAcentral